RNAcentral lists this ribosomal RNA (489 nucleotides) under uncultured bacterium. Its description in RNAcentral is "bacterial SSU rRNA". It matches the Rfam family "Bacterial small subunit ribosomal RNA", at positions 28 to 526 of the family's 1533-position model. The record is from RNAcentral.
GACGAACGCUGGCGGCGCGCUUAACGCAUGCAAGUCGAACGAGGUCCAUCCGGUGGCAACACCGGUGAAGACCGAGUGGCGAACGGGUGAGUAACACGUGAGGAACCCACCCCGGAGACCGGGAUAACCCUCCGAAAGGAGAGCUAAUACCGGAUGUCCUCAUCGGACCGCAUGAUCUGAUGAGGAAAUGGAUUCCGCUCCGGGACGGCCUCGCGGCCUAUCAGCUUGUUGGUGGGGUAACGGCCCACCAAGGCAACGACGGGUAGCUGGUCUGAGAGGACGAUCAGCCACACUGGGACUGAGACACGGCCCAGACUCCUACGGGAGGCAGCAGCGGGGAAUAUUGCACAAUGGGCGAAAGCCUGAUGCAGCGACGCCGCGUGGGGGAUGAAGGCUCUCGGGUUGUAAACCCCUUUCAGCAGGGACGAAAUCAGACGGUACCUGCAGAAGAAGCCCCGGCCAACUACGUGCCAGCAGCCGCGGUAACAC